This 429-nucleotide ribosomal RNA is filed under the name bacterium. RNAcentral describes it as "partial 16S ribosomal RNA". It matches the Rfam family "Bacterial small subunit ribosomal RNA", at positions 355 to 776 of the family's 1533-position model. The record is from RNAcentral.
UAGGGAAUCUUCGGCAAUGGGGGCAACCCUGACCGAGCAACGCCGCGUGAGUGAAGAAGGUUUUCGGAUCGUAAAGCUCUGUUGUAAGAGAAGAACGUGUGUGAGAGUGGAAAGUUCACACAGUGACGGUAACUUACCAGAAAGGGACGGCUAACUACGUGCCAGCAGCCGCGGUAAUACGUAGGUCCCGAGCGUUGUCCGGAUUUAUUGGGCGUAAAGCGAGCGCAGGCGGUUUAAUAAGUCUGAAGGUAAAGGCAGUGGCUUAACCAUUGUUCGCUUUGGAAACUGAUAAACUUAAGUGCAGAAGGGGAGAGUGGAAUUCCAUGUGUAGCGGUGAAAUGCGUAGAUAUAUAGCGCAACACAGGUGGCGAAAGCGGCUCUCUGGUAUGUAACUGACGCUGAGGCUCGAAAGCGUGGGGAGCAAACAGG